UUUUUCAACCUUCUGUCUCUCUUUGAUUCGUCUUCUGUUUAUAUCUCUCUGAUUCGUCUUCGCCAUUUCUGAUUCCUCUUUCUCAUACUCUUCUUGUUCUACAAUGUCUCACCCACCAAGGUCCUCACCGUUGCGAUUUUUCAGAGCAUCUUCAACUCUCCCUAAAAACAAUUUGAGUCUGUUGAGUUAGUCUGUUGGGCAUCUUGGAGUUUGCCGAGGGAUGCCCUCUUGGCAAGUCUGGCUUACAGUGGCUCAAGAUACUAAUGGCGAAUUUGUAUGCUGGUGGUGUGGGCAAGUUUUCCUACGAGGGUCGAAUUGCAUUUACUGAGAAUCAUUUAGAUGAUAUCUUUGAUUCAGCAGACAGACCUCUUGAAAGAAGGUGCUAGUGGUUGGUUGCAGAGGAUCCAUGUCAAUGCUUCGCAACAUGUAUUAAUCUUGCUGAAGCAUUGAGAAGCUCCUCUCCAAAGACUACUAUUUCAUGCAUGCCUGUCCACCAGGAUGGUUCAUGUAAUGGCCUGCAAUACUAUGCUACCCUUGGGAGGGACAAGUUAGGAGCAGCUGCAAUCAAUCUUGUUGCAGGAGAGAAACCUGCAGAUGUUUACUUGGGAAUUGCUGCUAGGUAGACAGGAAAUUGGUUAAGCAAACGGUGAUGAAAUCACUGUAUGGCAUGACUUGUAUUGGUGCCCAUGACCAAAUCAAGAAGAGGCUAAAAGACCGUUGUGCCAUUGAAGACGAAGAUGAGUUGUUUGCAGCAUCUUGUUAUGCAACAAAAGCCACCUUGACCGCAUUGGGUGAGAUGUUUGAAGCUGCACAAAGUAUCAUGAGUUGGCUCAGUGACUGUGCAAAGGUCUAUUCACUAUAAUUUUAGAUGUUUUGCCUAGUAAAAGAGAUAUGUACAGAUUGUGACCAUCAAUAGCUGUGAAGCUAAU
Camellia sinensis is the source of this 929-nucleotide non-coding RNA. NCBI's taxonomy places the organism in Eukaryota, Viridiplantae, Streptophyta, Magnoliopsida, Ericales, Theaceae. The record is from RefSeq and is a predicted model, not a curated record.